UCACAAAUAAUAAGCAAGUGCUCACCCCUC
This 30-nucleotide non-coding RNA is filed under the name Mus musculus (house mouse). Lineage: Eukaryota; Metazoa; Chordata; Mammalia; Rodentia; Muridae. The record is from RNAcentral.